UGGGGAAUAUUGCACAAUGGGCGCAAGCCUGAUGCAGCCAUGCCGCGUGUAUGAAGAAGGCCUUCGGGUUGUAAAGUACUUUCAGCGGGGAGGAAGGGAGUAAAGUUAAUACCUUUGCUCAUUGACGUUACCCGCAGAAGAAGCACCGGCUAACUCCGUGCCAGCAGCCGCGGUAAUACGGAGGGUGCAAGCGUUAAUCGGAAUUACUGGGCGUAAAGCGCACGCAGGCGGUUUGUUAAGUCAGAUGUGAAAUCCUCGGGCUCAACCUGGGAACUGCAUCUGAUACUGGCAAGCUUGAGUCUCGUAGAGGGGGGUAGAAUUCCAGGUGUAGCGGUGAAAUGCCUAGAGAUCUGGAGGAAUACCGGUGGCGAAGGCGGCCCCCUGGACGAAGACUGACGCUCAGGUGCGAAAGCGUGGGGAGCAAACAGG
Molecule: ribosomal RNA, 429 nt
Filed under: Chloroflexota bacterium
Lineage: Bacteria; Bacillati; Chloroflexota
Description: Chloroflexi bacterium partial 16S ribosomal RNA
Rfam family: Bacterial small subunit ribosomal RNA
Source: RNAcentral